CCUACGGGGUGCAGCAGUGAGGAAUAUUGGUCAAUGGUCGGGAGACUGAACCAGCCAAGCCGCGUGAGGGAGGAAGGUACAGAGUAUCGUAAACCUCUUUUGUCAGGGAACAAAGACUGGGACGCGUCCCCGGAUGAGUGUACCUGAAGAAAAAGCAUCGGCUAACUCCGUGCCAGCAGCCGCGGUAAUACGGGGGAUGCGAGCGUUAUCCGGAUUUAUUGGGUUUAAGGGGUGCGCAGGCGGUCUGUAAAGUCAGCGGUAAAAGCCCGGGGCUCAACCCCGGCCCGCCGUUGAAACUGGCAGUCGCGAGUUGGAGAGAAGUAUGCGGAAUGCGCGGUGGAGCGGUGAAGUGCAUAGAUAUCGCGCAGAACUCCGAUUGCGAAGGCAGCAUGCCGGCUCCACGCUGACGCUGAGGCACGAAAGCGUGGGUAUCGAACAGGAUUAGAUACCCCAGUAGUC
RNAcentral lists this ribosomal RNA (459 nucleotides) under uncultured bacterium. RNAcentral describes it as "partial 16S ribosomal RNA". It matches the Rfam family "Bacterial small subunit ribosomal RNA", at positions 338 to 795 of the family's 1533-position model. The record is from RNAcentral.